Long non-coding RNA from Epinephelus fuscoguttatus (brown-marbled grouper), 221 nucleotides. RefSeq lists it as uncharacterized. NCBI's taxonomy places the organism in Eukaryota, Metazoa, Chordata, Actinopteri, Perciformes, Serranidae. The record is from RefSeq and is a predicted model, not a curated record. The transcript has 3 exons.
ACAGGGAAACAAGAGGAAGCAGGAGGAGGACGACAGCAACCCUCAGCCAUCCAGCUCUGGCUCACUGGUGCAGCCAGAGAGGAGCUCCAGCCCUCAGCCGUCCACCUCCGGCCAUCAGGUGAACGCUGCUUUGCCACAGAGGAGCUCCACCCUUCCGUCAUCCACCCCAGGGCCACGGGGUAGAGAGCAGGAGGCUGUCCGGAGGGGUCCUUCAACCAGGU